This is a non-coding RNA of Acanthosepion pharaonis, 115 nucleotides long. The record is from the annotation of a GenBank genome assembly. NCBI's taxonomy places the organism in Eukaryota, Metazoa, Mollusca, Cephalopoda, Sepiida, Sepiidae.
UUACGGUCAAAUCACGCAGAAAAUGCCGGUUCUCGUUCGUUCAUUGAAGUUAAGCAAUGUCGAGUCUGGAUAAUACUGAGAUGGGGACCCGCUUGGGAAUACCGGAUACUGCAAG